RNAcentral lists this long non-coding RNA (2489 nucleotides) under Homo sapiens (human). Its description in RNAcentral is "THUMPD3 antisense RNA 1". The record is from RNAcentral. Lineage: Eukaryota; Metazoa; Chordata; Mammalia; Primates; Hominidae.
GCUCCGGCUCCUCAGAGAGCCUCGGCUAGGUGUGGAAACAGGAAGAGAACUAGAACUGGAAGUAAAGCAUUGAAGAUGUGACUGAAUUGCUGCAAUCUCAUGAUCAAAUUUGAAUGGAUGAGGAGUUGCUUUUUAGGGAUGAGCAAAGAAAGUGGUUUCUCGAGAUGGAAUCUACUGGUGAAGUUGCUGUGAACAUUGUUAAAAUGCCAAUAAAGGAUUUAGGAAUUACAGAAACCUGGUUGAUAAAGCAGUGCCAGGGUGUGAGAGAGUUGACUUCAAUUUUGAAAUAAGUUCCACUGGCUGGGUGUGGUGGCUCACACCUGCAAUCCCAGUACUUUAGGAGGCCGAGACUGGUAGAUCAUUUGAGGUCAGGAGUUCAAGACCAGCCUUGCCAACAUGGUGAAACCCCACCUCUACCAAAUUAGCCAGGUGUGGUGCACACCUGUAGUCCCAGCUACUUGGGAAGCUGAGGCAGGAGAAUCUCUUGAACCAGGGAGGAGGAGGUUGCAGUAAGCCGAGAUGGCGCCCCUGCACUCCAGCCUGGGUGACAGAGUGAGACCUUGCGUUUAAAAAAAAAAAAAAAGGAAAAGGAAAAAAAAGUUCUACUGUGGGUAAAAUGCUAUCAUGCUAUCAAACAGCAUCACAUGCUACAGAGAAGUCUUGUGAAAGGAUGUCAGUGUGGCAAACUUCAUUGUCUUUUAAGAAAUUGCCACAGCUAUCGUAAUCUUCAACCACCACCACCCUGAUGAGUCAGUAGCCAUCGUUAACGUUGGCGUAAGACCCUCCACCAGCAAAAAGAUUGUUAGCAUUUUUUUAGCAGUGAUGUAUUUAUCAAUUAUACAUAAUGCUAUUGUACACUUCUUAAUAGACUAUGGUAUAGUGUAACCAUAAUUUAUGCACUGGGAAACCAACAAAUUCAUGAGAUUCGCUUUAUUGUAGUGCUCUGGAAUUGAGCCUGCCGUGUUUCUGAGGUAUACCUGUGUAUUUAGUAUGUUCCUUGUAUAUAAAACCCCAUUUUAUAGGGUAGGAAACUAAGGCUUAGAGUUUGAGCAAUUUUCCCAUAGAUAACACCAAUAAAUUGAGGGCUGCAGAGACCACUUAAGUGGUUCUCUUAACAGUAGUCUAGACAUGACGUAAUGAGAUUUGGCUUAGGAGUGACAAUGGUAAGGAAGUUAAAGGAUUCAGGAACCAAAUACCAGUUAUUGAGAAGAAAGAAUGGCCUCAAAACAUCACUUCUCAAGGAAGCCUUGAUACCCUCACCCUUACUACACUGUAUCCUCCAUUUGAAUGUUGUCAAGAGCUCUUCUCACAAUUGUAAAUAAUAAUUGUGUAAUUUUGUUUUUUUUUUCCUACUUUAGGUUGCUCCUUGAGGGCAGGACAGUUCUUAUGGCUUUAUCCGUUGCGUAAGCACAGAGAGGUCUGCGAGGUCAAAACUAUUGUCAUGAUAGCAAGAUGCCUGUCUUUUUCAUUUAUUCUCACGGUGUGCAGAGGCUACAUGAUGUGUGAUGACAUCCUCAUUGAUGUUAAUGAAUGGUGCUAUACUUGAAUUUUCUAAGGUGUCAUUAGAUGAGGUCUUGCUGUGUUGCCCAGGCUAUUCACAGCUGCCAUCAUAGUGAACUACAGCCUGAAACUCCUGGGUUCAAGAGAUCCUUCUGCCUCAGCCUCCUGAGUAGCUGGAACUAUAGGCAUGCGCCACCAAGCCUGGGCUUUUAAAAAAAUUUUAAAAAGAAUUUUGAGACAGGAUCUUGCCAUGUUGCUCAGGCUAGUCUUCAACUCCUAGCCCUGAGUGAUCUUGCUUUGGGCCUCUCAAAAUGUUGAGUUAAUAGGCGUGAGCCACCAUACCCAGCCAAAAAUUUUUUUAGAGAUGGGAAUGGAAUGAUCUUGAAUAGUGUUGGUGCCACCUAUGUUGUGGCAUCAUUUUGAAACCAAUCAUUCAGAGUGCUUUUUUUGGUAAGGCAUUAUUUUUUAAUGCAGGUAUGCCACUACUGGGAAAAAAAAAAAAACAGGUUUUAAAGCUAGAAAUGAAAAGCUACUUAAGUAUCUUAAAGGAUAAGUUACUUUAUUAUACACUAGAAACAUACACAAUAGCUGAAAAACUUAAAAAAUCUCACACUGCUGAAUGUCUCUGCUGGCUGAAGUGUAAGUAAAAGAUCAUAGUAGUGCCGCUGUUGAGUGAUAAAGCAACUUGUCAUUAAAGAUGUGUGUGCAGACAUGGAUUCUGAGUUAAUAUCUCAUCUGUAGAAGUAUAUAUUUGUCCCUUGCUUUGGGAUUGGUUUCUGGACAGCACUCCCCCACCCUUGCUGGCCAUUUGCCAAGGACACCAAAACCCAAGGAUGUUGAAUUCCCUUUUAUAAAAUGGCGCUGUAUCUGCAUACAACUUACACACAUCCUCCCAUAUACUUUAAAUCAUUUCCAGAUUUCUUAUACUUCAUACAAUGUGAAUGCUAUAUAAAUAGUUGUUACAUUGUGUACUUAUAUUUGUACUAUUG